Molecule: ribosomal RNA, 252 nt
Filed under: uncultured bacterium
Lineage: Bacteria
Description: partial 16S ribosomal RNA
Rfam family: Bacterial small subunit ribosomal RNA
Source: RNAcentral
UACGGAGGAUGCGAGCGUUAUCCGGAUUUAUUGGGUUUAAAGGGUGCGUAGGCGGUCCGUUAAGUCAGCGGUAAAAUUGCGGGGCUCAACCCCGUCGAGCCGUUGAAACUGGCAGACUUGAGUUGGCGAGAAGUACGCGGAAUGCGCGGUGUAGCGGUGAAAUGCAUAGAUAUCGCGCAGAACUCCGAUUGCGAAGGCAGCGUACCGGCGCCACACUGACGCUGAGGCACGAAAGCGUGGGUAUCGAACAGG